ACGACCCUCCGAUGAAAUACACGUAGGACGUAUAGUUAAAUUAUAACCUGGAGAAUAUGAUAUAUAGAUCGUAGUCUCACAGUUAUAACUUAUAUUAUAGCCUAUCAUUGUACCUUCGUUGUAGUUAAAAGGUACCUUGGUAAUUGUUGUUUGUUUAAACAAUGUCUAAGAACUCUAUCGAAAUUUUAGGCCCUGGCAAUAAUCGAUCAAAUGAUUGCUUUGAACGGGUAUUUUCAGGUUGAUUCACUACAUCUAAGCAGUAAAUCAACAGUACGUCCACUUUCAUAGUUGCUCAAAAAGGCUGGGAACCAAUUGCUGGAUCAUUCAAUACUGUCCGGGGCUGUAAGGUAUGAGAAGAUAAUGCAUAAAGAAAAACUGGCAGUGAUUGGAUAAGAAAAGUAUAUGCAGUGAUAACAAUACGCGUCAUCGAAAAAGAAACACUUAUUUUCUGUGAGAGAGACAGUGAUGUUGAAGAUAUUGUGUGAUUCAUUGUUGCAAAAUAAUCAUUUUGUUGAAUCUGAAAAAAGAUUUUGUGUAAACUUGCAAUCACUGCGACACAUGGAUGUGAAAAUUUCAAUUAUACACCUGAUUCAAUGCAAACACCAAUUUUACAUCUACCUGUUUAAAAAUCCAACACACCAGACUUACAAAAAGAAUUGUUUGACCGGAUUCUUGUAAGAUAAACAAUAAUUGAUUCAAAGGACACACAUUUGCCAGUUUAAACCAAUUCGCAUAAAUUAUCUACGAACACAAUCAGGUUUUGUAAAUGUGGAAAAUCUGGCAGUGAUUGGAUAAGAAAAGUAUAUGUAAAGAAUACAAUACUCGUCACCAAAAAAGAAACACUUAUUUUCUGUAACAGAGACAGUGCUGUUGAAGAUAUUGUGUGAUUCAUUGUUGCAAAAUAAUGUUUUUGCUGAAUCUGAUGGAAGAACUUGCAAUCACUGCGACACAUGGAUGUAAAAAUUUAAGUUAUACACCUGAUUCAAUGCAAACACCAAUUCUACAUCUAUCGAUUCAAAAUCCAAUUCAUCAGACUUAUGAAAACGUUUAAACACCGAAAACUCCACUGAUGCUGCUGAAGAUCCAAAUAAUAAACUUAAAUUAAAUUGUAAUUGUGGUUCAUUAUAAAAAUAAUUAAGAGGACGUCAUACCAGUAUAUGUUGUCUCCGUCUUACACACGUAAAACAACAAAUUUUCGUUCACCAGUUUCAAUAGUGUACUGUUAGUUUUGACAUUAAGAGUGGACCUCUACUAAGGUAAGUAAAUUAUCCGUGUUCUCUCAAUGGUUUUUUACGAUAUUUUAAUUUUUAAGUGAUCAUUUUCAAAUAUUUAUAUUUUACAUACUCAUAACUCACUUGAAAAUUAAAAUAUUGUUAAAACCCAACUAGAGAACAGAGAAAAUGUUGUUACCUGAAAGUUUGAUAGUAAGUUAAAUUUAUUCUAGUAUCAAAACUAACGGUCCACUAUUGAAACUGGUGAACAAAAAUUUAGUAUGUCGUGCGUAUGUAAGCCGGAGACAACAUGUGCAGGUGCAACAUCCACUUAACAGUACUACUUAUCGAAGAAGUUCAAAAACAAAUAAUCAGACAACUAGUAACAUUAAACGCUAGGCAAAGAGAAUAAGGAGAGUAUUUGCACCCCAUAAUGUUGGUAGUCAGUAACAUCCAAGAUAAUGAAAAAAUCUGAUGGUUCCACCAUCAUUAGGAUCUAAUCAACAAUUUGAAAAAAUAUGUGAAAUAUUCCCAAUAUCAAUUAACAAUUAAUUAAAUAUGUUUAAAGAAGCUUUCACUGACGACAACGCCUUAUACGAUCAAACUGUAAAUAUGUUAUCAACAGACAACAAUUGGUGGUGAUAAUUAUUAACAGGCAGUGAGGCAUAUCUUAAAACAAAUCAUAACUGAUGAUUAUACCAAAUCAUAUAGUUACACUCGGCACAAAGGAAACAAAUAACCUUUCAACAAAACAAUUUUGUCUUCUUUACUUACAAAAGCAACCCAGUCUUCUUAUAUAUUCAAUCAAACUUUGAUUAAGAACAUUGAAUCUGCCGCAAGUUUAUGGCUUUCAAAAGCAAGUGAAAGACUCAAGAUGACCACACCAAAUAAUAUUAAUAAAUGAUUUUUGGCAAAUACUUUGUUUUAACUGUUCAGCCAGGCCUGGCCACUAAAUUUUAACGUAAUAAAUAUUUUUUUUAAAGAACUAUACACCUAUGGGCUAUGCUUAGGGUUUAUUUAAUAAAAAUAUACCUAGAAUCUAAAUCAAAUCUUCAUAUGUAUAUAGUAUAUGUUACGGGCAAUGUGGAAUAUCAAUGUGGUCCUGGCUCGAACAAUGUAAACCACAAAUUUUUUUUUA
Myzus persicae (green peach aphid) is the source of this 2349-nucleotide long non-coding RNA. RefSeq lists it as uncharacterized. The transcript has 10 exons. The record is from RefSeq and is a predicted model, not a curated record. NCBI's taxonomy places the organism in Eukaryota, Metazoa, Arthropoda, Insecta, Hemiptera, Aphididae.